GCCAGCCCCCACUCCUGCCCAUGCCUCGUGGCGGCGGCUCGUGAAGAAAAAGACCGAAACCCACCCUCCCCCAGCCGCCGCCUGAGUCGCAUCUCUGCUUACUGUUUCUGGGAAGUGGUAGAAAGACGGCCAUAAAAAGAAUGGCGUCCAUUUACAUAAUGCUUUGUUUGCAUUUUGCAAGUUUCUUUCGGUUAAACCCGCAGAAACCCCACCUCCUGCCCUAGUGUCAUUUUACUCGUGGCAGUCUCGUCAGACGUUUAAGACAAUGGCGUGCUUCUUGGGGGCCGUUUUUAUUCAGGGGGUACCGACCAGUGCUUUGGGGGAGUUUUCCCCUUGCGGUUUACGCCCCCGCUGCUGCCUUGCGGCCCUUUCCCCUUCGGUGCAGCCGCCGCGCCCUGUGCUGUCCGGGGGCGGCUCCCACGCGCCCGCCAUCUUGGAAGGCCUUUCCUGCCGCAUGUUCCUCUGUAAAGAAAGGUCACUCCGGUCGCUGGUGUACCGGUUGUGAUUUCUGCCCCUUUCCCUUUCCUUCAGCUAAGCCAGCCAGAAAAGACCAUGUGCGCCACGCACUUUGGAAUCCUGCAGGGAAAGCGCCCAACGUGGCGAUCCCUCCGCCCCUCCUCCUUUCCCCACGGCGGUGGCCGCCAUGUUUUCUGAACACAAAAUGGCGACACGUGGCCUGAUUCGUUGCCAACGAGAAAUUGGGGUCGGCCCGAGAACUCUAGAAUGCGACCCCUACCCCCACCCGGUGCCCGUCGGCCGGGAGUGCUCUGACCACUCUGGGAUAAAACGCCGCAGGCUGGUCCAAACCUCGACAAAUUCACUUAGGCCCAGAGAGAUGAAGUGAGUAAUUCAAGGUCACACAGUGUCGAGGAUGGAAUCCAGACCUUCCGAUUUACUUAUUGACCUGCACUAUCUUAUGGAUACUGAGUGAAUUCCACACCACCCGUUUUACAGAUGAAGCCACUGAGAUAUGGAGCAACUGACUAAAAUAGUCACCGCCCUACCCCGGGAGUCUCACACAUGACUCUUCUCCUCCCACUCCAGUGACCGCAGCAUUCUACUGCAGCAGUAUCAUCCACUCAGGAUGUCUCAAAGGCCUCUGGGCCCGAGGGGGUCACACUUCAGAGACCCAAGAUUUCAUGGUGAGCAGCCUCAGGCCCGAUAAGGGUGAGAAACAGGCCUGCCUUCUCAGGACUGGAUCCAGUCCAAGAUACCAUGUUGUAUUUAGGAUGCGGAAUCUCAGGGACCCAACGGACGAUUGUGAAGACUUUGUAAAGCACUGUACAAAUGGGUGAUAUUGUCAUGGGGAUGAUGUCAUGAAGGGGACUGAGCAGUGCCUUAGGUGGACAGUAUGAAUCUUAAUCUGCCAUCCCAGGAGGGCCACAAAUGCUCCUGAGAUCAACUCAGUUCCAACCCUGAGCUCGCAUCUGCCUGACUAGGAGGAAAUUCCAUCAUGGUCAUUAUGGGCCCCCUUCUGGUACCACGGUCUGCCUGAGGGCUCCCACUCCACCUCAAGGGCUCUGGAGUUGACUCCUGGCUGGUUUGGGGCAUCCUGGGGCUGGAGUAGGGGUGAAGGCUGCCCCUCCACACUGCUGCCUCACCAAGAUCACAUUGGAGGGAGCAAGGUGCUGCGGGGCUUGGCCUGACUUGUGAGGAGAACUGCCGCCACAGCUCCUCUGAGAAGCCAGUGGGCCGAGCAAGAGCCAGGGUUGCAGGAUCAUGGGUUUCCACCCUUCCCUGACUUACACCCGACUUUUUGUCAGAGAAGAUGAAAACAACCGAGUCCACUAUCCAGAAAUGAAACCAGAUUUGGAUCUUACGAGAGAUCAGGAUAAAGUCUCAAAGCGGAAGCCCAGGGACCUUGGCGCAGGCAGGGGCACAGGCCUCAGAGUGAGGAUUGUUUCCUGAAGUCCAGAUGCCAAUAUCCAACUGGUGAGGGGACUUUUCCACUUGGCUGUACCAUGUGUGCCUCAAACCGAGCCUGUCCCAAGAUGAAUUCAUAGUCACCCCACAAAGCCGCGUUUCUGGAGUCUCCACUCCAGAGAGUGCCACCACCAUCCUCCAAGUCACCCUGGCCACACACCGGGCAACCCCUCAGUCCUCCCUUCCAUGUGAUCACCAGCUUGCAGACCUGGUGCCAUAACCCACUGAAGCAGAACACCGGAAGCUGGGUGCAGCCAUGGUCCCUGCUCCUAGGAGCUGUGCAGUCAAAGCCUGCACACUCCCCCGCCACCCCCUACACACAAACUCUGGGACCAGGUCUCGGGGCGGGAGUUGUGCAGGAGUAGGGCAGGCAAAUGGGACCCUGCUCAUGGUGGUGAGUGCCCAGAGGUGGGAAGAAUGGGGGGCAUCAUGUCGUUGGCCCCACAGCAUGGGGGCGGGGCAGGGCAGAAGGCAGGAUGACCCACUUUCAAAGCAGCCUGGCUGUGCCUGGGGCUGCUUCGAGUGGUCAGCCUGCACAUACGUGUUGGUCUUAAACUCUUCGAAAUUGGGCUAACAUCCAUAUCCUGUUUUCAUUAGCUUGUAAGCCAUCGUGAUGGGGACCUCCCUAGUUUUCUGAGCUAGCAACUGUGCCCAGAGGCUAAUGAAUAGCAAGUGCCCCCAAUAAAUAUGAUUUUAAUACUCAGUGUAAAUGUGUGUGCAAAUAAAUAUGUGAAAUGAAAGGUGGGAGCUGAAUUCUAUAUGCAAGUUACACAAUUUCUUAGCUGUUUUGAACUGAGAACUGUGGUAUGACUGUGUGUAUAGUGUGUGUUCUCCAUGUGCAGGAUGUGUGUACAGUGUGUGGGGAGAGUGUUUUCACAGAUAGUGUUUAUAUGUGGUGUGUGGUAAGGCCUGUGUGUGUAUAUGUGUCUGUGUGUAUAUGUUUGUGUUGUGUAUGUGUGUGAAGAGAAGUCCCCCUCAGAUUGGAGAUAAAACCAGCUACAUAAUUUAUAGGGCCUGGUGCAAAACGAAAGUGUCGUGCCCCUUGUUCAAAAUUAUUGGGAAUUUCAAAACAGCAACAGCAGAGCAUCAAACCAAGCUCGGGGCCUGAGUGCAGAGCCCAUGUGACUUCACAGGUGAACACCAGUGAAGCCGGCCCUGGUUGGAGAAACUGCGCCUCCUGUCUCCCCUCAACCUUCCUUUGCUGAAAGUCCUUGAGUCCUUCUUUGCUCUCUCCCCAUCCAGCUCCCGGGGUGACCUCACUGACGCAGGUGGCUUGUGCAUUGCAGGAGCUUGUCUGCGCCUUUCCUGACCCUCCUGUUUCUGUCUGGGUCUCACUGGGGACACCCAAAUCCAUAAGGUGUCUCUCAGCUCUUUGCUCAAAAUGAUCUCCUGAAAACAUCCAGGUACCUCCUGGCCCCUACUGCCCGCCCUGCCCUCUCUGUGCUCCCAGA
Diceros bicornis minor is the source of this 3374-nucleotide long non-coding RNA. RefSeq lists it as uncharacterized. The transcript has 9 exons. Lineage: Eukaryota; Metazoa; Chordata; Mammalia; Perissodactyla; Rhinocerotidae. The record is from RefSeq and is a predicted model, not a curated record.